AUGGAAAAGAUGUGCAAAAAAGCAAAAUGGCUGUCUGGGGAGGCCUUACAAAUAGCUGUGAAAAGAAUAGAAGUGAAAAGCAAAGGAGAAAAGGAAAGAUAUAAACAUCUGAAUGCAGAGUUCCAAAGAAUAGCAAGAAGAGAUAAGAAAGCCUUCUUCAGUGAUCAAUGCAAAGAAAUAGAGGAAAACAACAGAAUGGGAAAGACUAGAGAUUUCUUCAAGAAAAUCAGAGAUACCAAAGGAACACUUCAUGCAAAGAUGGGCUCAAUAAAGGACAGAAAUGGUAUGGACCUAACAGAAGCAGAAAAUAUUAAGAUGAGAUGGCAAGAAUACACAGAAGAACUGUACAAAAAAGAUCUUCACGACCCAGAUAAUCACGAUGGUGUCAUCACUGACCUAGAGCCAGACAUCCUGGAAUGUGAAGUCAAGUGGGCCUUAGAAAGCAUCACUAUGAACAAAGCUAGUGGAGGUGAUAGAAUUCCAGUUGAGCUAUUCCAAAUCCUGAAAGAUGAUGCUGUGAAAGUGCUGCACUCAAUAUGCCAGCAAAUUUGGAAAACUCAGCAGUGGCCACAGGACUGGAAAAGGUCAGUUUUCAUUCCAAUCCCAAAGAAAGGCAAUACCAAAGAAUGCUCAAACUACUGCACAAUUGCACUCAUCUCACAUGCUAGUAAAGUAAUUCUCAAAAUUCUCCAAGCCAGGCUUCAGCUAUAUGUUAACCAUGAACUUCCUGAUGUUCAAGCUGGUUUUAGAAAAGGCAGAGGAACCAGAGAUCAAAUUGCCAACAUCUGCUGGAUCAUGGAAAAAGCAAGAGAGUUCCAGAAAAACAUCUAUUUCUACUUUAUUGACUAUUCCAAAGCCUUUGACUGUGUGGAUCACAAUAAACUGUGGAAAAUUCUGAAAGAGAUGGGAAUACCAGACCACCUGAUCUGCCUCUUGAGAAAUUUGUAUGCAGGUCAGGAAGCAACAGUUAGAAAUGGACAUGGAACAACAGACUGGUUCUAA
Molecule: long non-coding RNA, 1002 nt
Filed under: Bos indicus x Bos taurus (hybrid cattle)
Lineage: Eukaryota; Metazoa; Chordata; Mammalia; Artiodactyla; Bovidae
Description: lncRNA (ENSBIXG00005025924.1)
Source: RNAcentral